This 54-nucleotide transfer RNA is filed under the name Lepidoglyphus destructor. RNAcentral's name for it is "tRNA-Asn". The record is from RNAcentral. Lineage: Eukaryota; Metazoa; Arthropoda; Arachnida; Sarcoptiformes; Glycyphagidae.
CCAAAUUUAGUCAUUUUGUGACAUCUCUUUGUUAAGGAGAAGGGUGAUUUUGGU